AUGUAAACUGUCUCCCUGAUAGGAGAUUUCGUCCCUUUCCCUCACUGCUGCUAGGAUCUUCUGCUUAUCAACGUAGUUGUGCAAUUUCACUAUAACGGGUCUGACGUAGUUUUCCUUCCGUGGUCCUAGGGCUCUGUGAGCUCUAUCAAUCUUUAUACGGCCAUGCUUAGUGUCCAAGCCAAGUAUGUCAGGCAGCCAUGAUUCAAAAUGUUUUACUCCCUGUGUCCCCUCUGCACCUUCCCGUAGGCCGAUGAUGCAUAAGUUGUCCCAUCGACUACGGUUUUCUAAGUCUUCAGAUCGAUCGGUUAGGGACCUAACUUGUUGCUCAAGCCCGGCAACUUUACUCUCCAGAGAACUUGUACGGUCGUCGCACUCUGAGAUGCGAGACUCUGCAUCCCAGAUAGCACACAUUUUGGCUGAAGUCUGGCAUACGUUUGGUAUUUUUGGGUUUGUUUUGGCAUAGAAACGGCAAAGUAAAUGCUUUCGGCUGAACUGUGGCAAGAUUGUGGUUUACCAUAAUAGAUAAAUAAAAAGGCGCCAGCGGUAGAUAACUAGUUAUAGCAAAUGUCUGGUUAACCAGAUGAAUGGGCGGGACGGUUUACUGACGUAUGCAGGUGCGUUUUGACGUCCUUGUGGUUUGCCAGAAGACUGAUCAAAGACCGGGAAUUUUCUCUAGAAGAGACGUCUAGUAGUAGUACUUCACUAACUCUAGCACUAUCACAGACGUGCAUAAGACAUUCAGUGGAGCUGCAGCAAGCAGUAUAAAUGGCUAAGUUUUUGUCAUGGCAAUAAAGCCUUAUUUUGCCCUAAUAUAGCUAGCUAAGUAGCUAGUUAACAUGUUAACCUGAAUGCUCUGCAGGUGGCAAACUUUUUUAAAACACAGACAGACUUAUGUCAAUGAACACAUUCCAUUAUUUCCCUUUUUUCUCUUCUGUUUUCAGUGCAUAAGGCAUUCAGUGGAGCUGCACCUUAAGGCAAUUGUAAUGGAUGCUAGAAAUCUGCAGCAAGCGGUAUAAAUAGUGCAUAAGGCAUUCAGUGGAGCUGCACCUUAAGGCAAUUGUAAUGGAUGCUGUGAGAAGAAAUUCAGUUUGCUCUGCCAACAGUCGACCCGUUUACAGUAAAAAGUAUGCUGAUAUGACUUAAUAAAUACAAAUCACAAUGAAAUGCAA
Long non-coding RNA from Alosa sapidissima (American shad), 1169 nucleotides. RefSeq lists it as uncharacterized. The transcript is spliced from 5 exons. The record is from RefSeq and is a predicted model, not a curated record. NCBI's taxonomy places the organism in Eukaryota, Metazoa, Chordata, Actinopteri, Clupeiformes, Clupeidae.